AUGCGGGAGUGCCGCAAGGAACGACAAGACAGGUGCUGCAUGGCUGUCGUCAGCUCGCGUCGUGAGAUGUUGGGUUAAGUCCCGCAACGAGCGCAACCCUUGUCCCUAGUUGCCAGCACGUAAUGGUGGGAACUCUAGGGAGACUGCCGGUGACAAACCGGAGGAAGGUGGGGAUGACGUCAAGUCCUCAUGGCCCUUACGGCCAGGGCUACACACGUACUACAAUGGUCGGUACAGAGGGUUGCGAAGCCGCGAGGUGGAGCCAAUCCCAGAAAACCGAUCCCAGUCCGGAUCGGAGUCUGCAACUCGACUCCGUGAAGUCGGAAUCGCUAGUAAUCGCGAAUCAGCUAUGUCGCGGUGAAUACGUUCCCGGGCCUUGUACACACCGCCCGUCACACCAUGGGAGUUGGCUGCACCAGAAGCAGGUAGUCUAACCGCAAGGAGGACGCCUACCACGGUGUGGUCAAUGACUGGGGUGAAGUCGUAACAAGGUAACCGUAA
Molecule: ribosomal RNA, 501 nt
Filed under: uncultured Lysobacteraceae bacterium
Lineage: Bacteria; Pseudomonadati; Pseudomonadota; Gammaproteobacteria; Lysobacterales; Lysobacteraceae
Description: bacterial SSU rRNA
Rfam family: Bacterial small subunit ribosomal RNA
Source: RNAcentral